Molecule: long non-coding RNA, 1184 nt
Organism: Drosophila willistoni
Lineage: Eukaryota; Metazoa; Arthropoda; Insecta; Diptera; Drosophilidae
Exons: 3
Source: RefSeq, a predicted model, not a curated record
UGCGCUAAAUCUUUUUAAUUUACAUUAUUUUUAAAUAUCCCACUCCUUCUCCGUACAAUCACUUAGGAACAGCAGCUUGUAAAGCCGUUUCGGUGAAAGUCGGUUGCGAGUUUUGGUCAUAGUACUCCCAGCUUUAGAGAACAAACGUUCAGAGGGCACAGGUGUCGCAGGAAUUCCCAAAUGCUUCUUUGAAUUUUUGUAUAGUUUUGAAUAUACCACUUUCAUGUCAUCCCAUUGUUUUAAAGGGUCGAAUGAAUGGUAUUCACCAGUAUGACUUUCAUCUAGAGCAACAGUGGCUAUGCAAGGAGACAUAAGAUUAUCAUUAUGCAAAAAAUGAACAGUAACUCCUAAAUAACUGAAAACUCGGUCCAAACAUCACAUUAUAAAAAUCAUCCAAUUGUGCUUUUAGCGUAUCAACGCUUGGAAUUUUAAAUGCUGGGCAGGCUUUUUUCAUCAAUUUGUUAAAUCGACGCAGAGUUUUGAAUGAUCUUGCCCGCCACCCGAAUACGAAAUUUUGCGUUCCAUUGAUUGUGUAAUGGUCAGUCGGUUUUUUUUAGAAAGAAAUUGGGCGGGAGCCAGGAUCCUUUGGCAAAGGUUAGUCGACACUAUGAGCCCACUAUGAAGCAUGGCGGUGGAAGUGUCAUGGUUGGGGCAUGCAUGGCGGCUUCGGGAGUUGGAAUCCUGGUUUUGAUCGAAGGCACAAUGGACAGACAUAUGUAUCUAUCAGUUUUAAAGGAGAAUUUACUUUAGAGUGGAGAGAAAUUAGGUCUAGAGGGCCGAUUCCGAUUUUAUUAAGACAAUGACCUAAAACACAAAUCCGGCAUUGUGAAGUCCUGGUUGAGCUGGGAUUGCCCACAUGUGGUCAGUCCUCCUGUCCAGUUUCCUGACCUUAAUGUGAUUGAAAAUUUGUGGGCAAAAUUUGACAUGACCAUGCGGAAAAGGUCAAUUUCCAAUAAAAAUGACCUUAAAAAUGCCCCACUGGAAGAAUGGGUAAAAAUAUCACCUGAAGUCACCAAAAAAUUGGUUUCCUCAAUGGAAACAAGCAUUAAAGAGGUGAUUAAACAAAAUGGGGGACACACCAAAUACUAGUUUAAUUUGUUUAGAAUAAAUUUUUAGGGUUAAAUGCAUUGCACGAAAUAAGCUGUGACAUAGAAAAGCCACUGAUAUUCAUUUUUUUAAUUUUU